GUGCCAGCCGCCGCGGUAAUACGGAAGGUCCGGGCGUUAUCCGGAUUUAUUGGGUUUAAAGGGAGCGCAGGCGGAGGGUCAAGUCAGCCGUAAAAUCGUCCUGCUCAACAGGAUCCCGCGGUUGAAACUGGUCCCCUUGNGGUGCACAAGAGGCACGCGGAACUCGUGGUGUAGCGGUGAAAUGCAUAGAUAUCACGAAGAACGCCGAUUGCGAAGGCAGCGUGCUGGGGUGUAACCGACGCUCAUGCUCGAAGGCGCGGGUAUCAAACAGGAUUAGAUACCCUGGUAGUCCGCGCAGUAAACGAUGGAUGCCCGCGGUGUGGGGUUUNUCCUUGCGCCGCCAAGCGAAAGCGUUAAGCAUCCCACCUGGGGAGUACGCCGGCAACGGUGAAACUCAAAGGAAUUGACGGGGCCCGCACAAGCGGAGGAACAUGUGGUUUAAUUCGAUGAUACGCGAGGAACCUUACCCGGGCUUGAAAGGCAUUCGACAGGACACAGAGACGUGUCCCUUCUUCGGACGGAUGCCUAGGUGCUGCAUGGUUGUCGUCAGCUCGUGCCGUGAGUGUCGGCUCAAGUGCCAUAACGAGCGCAACCCCUACCGCCGGUUACCAUCGGGUGAUGCCGGGGACUUCCGGCGGCACUGCCGCCGGCAAGGCGCGAGGAAGGUGGGGAUGACGUCAAAUCAGCACGGCCCUUACGUCCGGGGCCACACACGUGUUACAAUGGGGGGCACGAGAAAGCUGGAUGCCGGCGACGGUGUCCGAAUCCUCAAAUCCCCUCCCAGUUCGGACUGGAGUCUGCAACCCGACUCCACGAAGCUGGAUUCGCUAGUAAUCGCGCAUCAGCCAUGGCGCGGUGAAUACGUUCCCGGGCCUUGUACACACCGCCCGUA
RNAcentral lists this ribosomal RNA (892 nucleotides) under uncultured bacterium. RNAcentral describes it as "bacterial SSU rRNA". It matches the Rfam family "Bacterial small subunit ribosomal RNA", at positions 505 to 1398 of the family's 1533-position model. The record is from RNAcentral.